This 909-nucleotide ribosomal RNA is filed under the name Triticum aestivum (bread wheat). Its description in RNAcentral is "partial small subunit ribosomal RNA". The record is from RNAcentral. Lineage: Eukaryota; Viridiplantae; Streptophyta; Magnoliopsida; Poales; Poaceae.
AUGUCCGAUCCGGAGAAGGCUCCUCGUUCCCUCGUCUAUCCAUCAGAGUGGGAUGCCAUGACCGCAGAUGAGCAGAUGUUGUGGUUUCUCAAGCAUCUAUCGGCACAGAUGGAUAGUAUCAAGUCCGAGCUCGCGGCUGCGCGCGUGGGCGCGGGCGAUCCGGCAGAGGCCACCUCGCGUGUCAAUCCGGUUGCCUCCCCUGCUACUGCUUCGGCUACCUCAACCUCUGCCCUGGUCGCGUCUCACACCGACCGCGCAACCACGGCUGCUCCACCCACCAUCGCCGAGGAGGUCCACUGCACCGCCACCGCAUUCGACCCCAAUCCCGCGAUCGGCACCAACAACGCCAUAGCCACCCUUCGAACGAACGGAGUGGAAAUUCAGGAGGAGAACCAGGUGGUGGCAACAGCAAUUCAGGCUGUUAGCAUCAACAUCGGCGGCAAGUUCACUACUCCCGCACCUCCACUGGUGGCGUCCUCUCCAGAAGUCUCCACCGAGCCUGCUGUCCUUCCCGACGUUUCCUCGUCAACUGGACAGGCUGAGGAGAUCCUCCAUCAUGUGUCUUCUGAUUACAUCGCUACGACGCUCAUGACCUGUUCGACAGAAUGCUCGAAAAAAUUCAGUGCCAUGUCAUUCUUGUCUCCAGUCAUGACGACGUCGCUACCCCCAGCAGCCACACUUGUGCUCGUCGCCGACCUCAUUCACCCUGCUACCAACGAUGGUUCUAACCGGCGGGUGCCCCUGGACAUGGAAGACGAGCUCCUGACCAGUCUAUCUCCUCUGUCGUUCUCAAUUGUAGAUUCAACGCAGUCGUUUCUGAACCAGGACAGGGACGUCCCGUUUCCCACAAGGCGAGGGGCUGCUGAUACGACCGACUCCGUGGCCAUCAUUUCAGAUGCAUUUUGCUGA